UGAACUAUAAAAUGCCACAUGGAGGAAAGAACAUUGUUCCACCUUUUAGGUGUGGAGUCAUCCAAAUGUGGGGCCUAUAGGAAAUAAUAAAAAUAUCAUGAGAAAUGUUGGGCUUCUAGUAAAUAACGAUAUAAAAAUAAAAAAUAAAAGCUUAUAAAAAUUACAUGGAAUUGGCCACUGCAGGAUCUAGCAGAUUAGGAACUGGUUGGUACCUACAGUGAACAAGCUGCUCCCGAUGUUUUAAGGGAACUGGAUCUGUCCUCCUAAAAACCAAUCCAAAUUGGGUAAUUAAUCAUUUGAGAGAGAGAGCGAGAGAGAUAUCAAACAGUUCAUGCAGUCACACCUCAAAACCAAGCAAUCGGAGCUCAAAAUUGAAAAAAUCCCAAAUUUUCUCAACUUUUGAUAGAAUGAAAAAAGUGUCGUGUAAAUACUUUAGAGAAGUGACAAAGAAACAUAAAGAUUUUUUCAGAGAGAAAUGGUGAAAAAGGUAAAACAAAAGGUGAAAAUGGCGAAUCUGGACAUAAAGAGAUCAAAAAAAAAAAAAAAAAAAGGUAAGAGAGUGGCUCAAUGAUGUACACUGGAAAAUUGCAAGGCUUUCUAGAAUUAGAUGAUUUUCAGUUGUGGGCAAAAUUCGCCUGACAACAAUUUAUCAAGCAUAACUGACAUAUGCACAUGGACUGGGCGGUUCUUAUCUAGACAACAACAUUAAGUAAUAUCAAAAGAUAUUAUAAUCCGGCCGGCGUACAUGUUUCUUCUGGAAAAAACUUAAAGGCCACUUGGAUCCAUGGAAAAAAAUUAUUUAAAAAAAUCUAUUUCUUUUGAAAUGUAUUUUUUGAGAAAAGUAGUGGCUAUAAACUAGAUUUUUGUUGUUUGGAUGGUACAUGAUUUUCAUGGCUUUUUUUAUAAUUUUCAUUAAAUGCUUGAUUGUAUGAUUGUAUUCUUCAUUAUAAUUAUUAAAUUUGAGAUAGAUUCUCUCGAUAUCUUUCUCUCUCUAAAAAUUUCGAGAUAAUUUAUCUCUAUCAAAAUUUUCAAGUAGUUUAUCACUCAAAAAUUUUAAGAUAUUUUAUCUGUCUAAAAUGUCAAAAUAUUUGCUCUUAAAAAUUUAAAUUUUGAGAUAGUUUCUAUCUCUAAAAACUUUAAGAUAGUUGUUUAUGUCUAAAAAUUUUAUGUAGUUUCUCUCUCUCUCUAAAAUUUUAAGAUACCUCUCUAAUUAAAACUUAAAAUAUGAUAUAGUUUCUCUCUCUAAAAAUGUUUAGGCAGUUUUUUUUUUUUUUUACAAUGAAUUUUUUAGGUUAUUUUUUUCUCAAAAAUUUGAUAUACUUUCUCUCUCUAAAAUCUUAAUAUACUUUCUUUCUCUAAAACUUAAAAUUUAAUAUAGUUUCUCUCCAUAAAAAUUUAAAUAAUUUCUCUCUCUAAAAAUUGUCAAGUACUUUCUCUCUCUAAAAUUAAAAAUUUGAGAUAGUUUCUCUGUCUAAAAAUUUUGAUAUAUUUUAUCUCUCUCUAAAAACAUUCAGGUACUUGCUAUCUCUAGAAUCUAAAAGUUGAGAUAGUUUCUCUCUCUAAAAUUUGAUAUAGUUUCUCUAUCUAAAACUUUAAGAUAUUUUAUCUCUCUAAAACUUAAAAUUUGAUAUGGUUUCUCUCUCUAAAUAUUUGAGAUAGUUUCUCUUCAAAUCUUUUCAAGCACUCUUUCUCUCUAAAUCUUAAAAUUUGAUAUAGUUUAUCUCUCUAAAAAAUUUUAGAAGUUUCUCUCUCUAAAAAUUUCGAGGUGGUUUCCUAUCUAGGAUUUAAAAUUUGUGAUAUUUUCUUUCUUUAAAUUUUUUUAAAUAGUUUCUCUCCCUAAAAUUUAAAAUUUGAUAUAGUUUCUCUUUCUAAAGUCUAAACCUUAAAAUUUGAUAUAAUUUCUCUCUAAAAAUUUUGAGAUAGUUUUUAUCCGUAAAAAUUUUCAGAUAGUUUAUCUAAAAUUUAAAAUUUGAGAUAGUGUUUCCCUUUAAAAAUUUUGCGAUAGUUUCUCUAUCUAAAUGUCAAAAUUUGAGAGAGUUUCUCACUUAAAAUUUUGAGAUAGUUUGUCUCUCUAAAAAAUUGUAAGUACUUUCGCACUAUAAAACUUAAAUUUUGAGAUAGUUUAUCUCUCUAAAAAUUUUGAGGUGCUUUCUCUCUCUAAAACUUAAAAUUUAAGAUAGUUCUCUCUCUAAAUAUUUUGAAUACUUUUUUUUUCUAAAAUUUAUAUAGUUUCUCUCUCUAAAAUAUUUAGAUACUUUUUCUUUAAAACUUACAAUUUGAAAAUAGUUUGACUUCUUAAAAAAAUUAGAUAGUUUCACUCUCUAAAAUUAGAUAUAGUUUUUCUCUCUAAAAUUUUAAGAUACUUUCUUUCUCUAAAAUUUAAAUUUUGAGAUAGUUUCCCUAAUUCGUGGGGGUGUUUUGGCUAGAUAAAUUAUAUUUUACAAAGUGUGCAUCUCUGUAACGAGGAAAUCUAGCUGGAAAUCAAUUUCUAAGGGUAAAGAUAGGGAUACAUAUUUUUUUUUAUUAUUUUUGGCUUGAAAUGAAGAAAAUGAUUUUUGGGAGAAAUAUUUUUUUGCCCGUAAGUUUCGAUCCAAACACCAGAAAUGUAACAUCUUCACAAAAAAAACUUUCUGGAAAUAUAUUUUCAAGUAUCCAAAUAAACCCUUAUAUAACAUGAAUUUUAGAGUGCCAUAAUUUUAGUGAUAUAACCUCUUCAACUCAAAUAUUAACUUUAAUUUAAUAAACUUUCCUAAUUGCACCCUCUAUUCACUUGGAAAAAACAUAAAAUAAAGGGUCUUUAGAUUGAAUAGAGACCAUCCAAUUUUUAGAAGGUGAUAUCUAAAUAUUAAAAAAUUCAAAAUUACUAUUAUUUCUUUCUUUUUUUUUUUUCUGUUUGAGAAUAAACAUCUAGUGAUUCUUUGAUAGUUUCAAGAAUUUUAGAUUGAAACAAAUUAUUUCCAAAUAGGUAUUCUGAUAGAGGGAGAAGAUGUACACUAUGCACCUAUAGGAGCACAGACGCAGCCUAAAGUAAUUCCUGAUCGAGGGAGAAGAUGUACACUAUGCACCUACAGGAGCAUAGAUUCAUGCUCUAAAGUAAGUCUAGCUCAUCGGAACAGAUAAUUAUUAUUUUUUUUAAAGAAACACGCAGUAGCUAUUCCAUUAAGGUAACGAAGUUACAAGAAACAAAAUGAAAAUAAAAGAAAAGUUAAAAAACAAAAUGAAAAAACACUAGCAAACACAAAGCCCUUACCCUACGCGGUAGCGGCUUCAGGAAGACAGUCAGCUGUACUGUUAAAACCUCUUUUGACAUGACGAAAAUAACUUCGCAGGACCUUAACACCAGGAUGAUGCUAUCCAUAAUGCCACUAAAGUUCCAAGGCUUAAGAUCUGGCUGUUGGUACCAUUUAAUGACCUUCGCUUAGUCACCUUCAACAAUCGGUGCCCAAAACUUCGUAUAUUAAUUUAACACGUAUGCAAUAUUUUGAUAAGACUAAAC
Molecule: long non-coding RNA, 3496 nt
Filed under: Amborella trichopoda
Lineage: Eukaryota; Viridiplantae; Streptophyta; Magnoliopsida; Amborellales; Amborellaceae
Description: long non-coding RNA (ATRI_LNC002705)
Source: RNAcentral